UACGAAGGGGGCAAGCGUUGUUCGGAAUUAUUGGGCGUAAAGGGAGCGUAGGCGGUUCGGCAAGUCUUUAGUGAAAUCUCUGGGCUCAACUCAGAGUCUGCUGGAGAAACUGCCGGGCUGGAGUACGGGAGAGGUGAGUGGAAUUCCCGGUGUAGCGGUGAAAUGCGUAGAUAUCGCUUGGAACGCCAACGGUGAAAACAGGUUGCUGAGGGUGUGCUGACGCUGAGACACGAAAGCCAGGGGAGCGAACUGG
Molecule: ribosomal RNA, 253 nt
Filed under: uncultured bacterium
Lineage: Bacteria
Description: partial 16S ribosomal RNA
Rfam family: Bacterial small subunit ribosomal RNA
Source: RNAcentral